This 253-nucleotide ribosomal RNA is filed under the name uncultured bacterium. RNAcentral describes it as "partial 16S ribosomal RNA". It matches the Rfam family "Bacterial small subunit ribosomal RNA", at positions 524 to 776 of the family's 1533-position model. The record is from RNAcentral.
UACGGAGGGUGCAAGCGUUAUCCGGAAUCACUGGGUUUAAAGGGUGCGUAGGCGGUCUGAUAAGUCAGAGGUGAAAUACUGUCGCUCAACGAUAGCAUUGCCUUUGAUACUGUUGGACUUGAAUCAGAAUGAGGUUAGCGGAAUGUGACAUGUAGCGGUGAAAUGCAUAGAUAUGUCAUGGAACACCGAUUGCGAAGGCAGCUGACUGGAACUAGAUUGACGCUGAUGCACGAAAGCGUGGGGAGCGAACAGG